Long non-coding RNA from Rosa chinensis, 281 nucleotides. RefSeq lists it as uncharacterized. NCBI's taxonomy places the organism in Eukaryota, Viridiplantae, Streptophyta, Magnoliopsida, Rosales, Rosaceae. The transcript is spliced from 3 exons. The record is from RefSeq and is a predicted model, not a curated record.
CCGGCCAUUAAAACUCGAGGUUCUUCGCUUGUUGAACUCGCCUCAACUUUCUGAACAAGCACCAAGAAGGACCGGACCUGAAGUGAUCGAUUUCACAUUGAACGGAGCCUCAUCGGAAAACUGGAGAAAUUCCGGCCAAACCGGACUGUUUUAGGUGUUUGACGGUUUGAUUUGGCAGACGAUUUGUGAUUCAUAUUUCGAGCUGUUAAGAAGACGCAGCGGGAUUAGAGGGGUUUUUGUGCAGGAUAGAUUAUUGAUUAAUUGUCGUCGAAGCUGAGGUG